This is a non-coding RNA of Acanthosepion pharaonis, 102 nucleotides long. The record is from the annotation of a GenBank genome assembly. Lineage: Eukaryota; Metazoa; Mollusca; Cephalopoda; Sepiida; Sepiidae.
AUCGCACCUGUUCUCGUUCGAUCACUGAAGUUAAGCAUCGUUGAGCCCGGUCAGUACUUUGAUGGGGUGGGGGGUCCGCUUGAGAACACCGGGUAUUGUAAG